Molecule: transfer RNA, 96 nt
Filed under: Mycobacterium cookii
Lineage: Bacteria; Bacillati; Actinomycetota; Actinomycetes; Mycobacteriales; Mycobacteriaceae
Also listed under: 2 other names
Description: tRNA-Ser
Rfam family: tRNA
About the family: Transfer RNA (tRNA) molecules are approximately 80 nucleotides in length.
Source: RNAcentral
UGGAGGCGUCGCCUAGUCCGGUCUAUGGCGCCCGCCUGCUAAGCGGGUUUGGGGCUAAAACCCCAUCGAGGGUUCAAAUCCCUCCGCCUCCGCCCA